This 507-nucleotide long non-coding RNA is filed under the name Salmo salar (Atlantic salmon). RNAcentral's name for it is "lncRNA (ENSSSAG00000093268.1)". The record is from RNAcentral. Lineage: Eukaryota; Metazoa; Chordata; Actinopteri; Salmoniformes; Salmonidae.
CUUAGACUGAAACGGGCAUUGUUGAACCCAUGUUGGGCAUCGGAGUGGUGUAAGGUAUCGUGGCCAUGCACAAGAUGACGGAGGACGCCAGGUUCAGCAUGAGACACAGGGUAAAGUUUGGGCAUCGGGACGAGCUGUGCAGUGUGACCACCAGAACAGCUAUGUUACCAGGGAGGCCCAGCACACAGCACAGCCCCAGGACGAUGUUCUAAAUCAGGGGGCAUCAAUCCAGGGAGGUGGGGUCCAUGCUGGAGGUGUUGGGGGAGUUCAGAUUUACCACCUUUUCUCCCCAAUUUGUAGUUACAGUCUUGUCCCAUCGCAGCAACUCCUCUAUGGACUCAGGAGAGGCGAAGGUCGAGAGCCAUGCAUCCUCCAAAACACAAUCCUGCCAAGCCGUACUGCUUCUUGACACACUGCUCGCUUAACUCGGAAGCCAGCCGCACCAAUGUGUCAGAGGAAACACUGUCCAGCUGGCAACCGAGGUCAGCUUGCAGGCUCCCAUUCCAC